GACGAACGCUGGCGGCGUGCUUAACACAUGCAAGUCGAACGGAAAGGCCCCCUUGUGGGGUACUCGAGUGGCGAACGGGUGAGUAACACGUGAGUAACCUACCCUUGACUUUGGGAUAACUUCAGGAAACUGGGGCUAAUACCGGAUAGGAGCUCCUGCUGCAGGGUGGGGGUUGGAAAGUUUCGGCGGUUGGGGAUGGACUCGCGGCUUAUCAGCUUGUUGGUGGGGUAGUGGCUCACCAAGGCUUUGACGGGUAGCCGGCCUGAGAGGGUGACCGGCCACAUUGGGACUGAGAUACGGCCCAGACUCCUACGGGAGGCAGCAGUGGGGAAUAUUGCACAAUGGGCGGAAGCCUGAUGCAGCAACGCCGCGUGCGGGAUGACGGCCUUCGGGUUGUAAACCGCUUUCGCCUGUGACGAAGCGUGAGUGACGGUAAUGGGUAAAGAAGCACCGGCUAACUACGU
RNAcentral lists this ribosomal RNA (464 nucleotides) under uncultured bacterium. Its description in RNAcentral is "partial 16S ribosomal RNA". It matches the Rfam family "Bacterial small subunit ribosomal RNA", at positions 28 to 506 of the family's 1533-position model. The record is from RNAcentral.